Oncorhynchus tshawytscha (Chinook salmon) is the source of this 1953-nucleotide long non-coding RNA. The record is from Ensembl. Lineage: Eukaryota; Metazoa; Chordata; Actinopteri; Salmoniformes; Salmonidae.
AUGAAUCCAGGUGAAAACACACUCAUCAUGAAUCUAUAUAUAGUGACAUCACGUCCUACUGCAUCGAGAUCAGGACUCCUCCUCAAACAGACUCAUCAGGAAUCUAUAUAUAGUGACAUUUUGAAACAAACAAGGUGAGAAAGGAGAACUAAACAGACACCGGGUUGACAAAACUUUAAGAACACCUGUUCUCUUUCCACGACAGACUGACCAGGUGAAAGCGGUGAUCCAUUAUUGAUGUCACUUGUUAAAUCCACUUCAAAAUCAGUGUAGAUGAAGGGGAGGAGACAUGUAGAUGAAGGGGAGGAGACAUGUAGAUGAAGGGGAGGAGACGGGUUAAAGAAGGAUUUAGAAGCUUUUCGACAGUUGAGACAUGGAUUGUGUGUGGCUGUAAGAGCCUUCGAACGGGGUGUGGUAGUAGGUGACAGGCGCACUGGUUUGUGUCAAGAACUGCAAUGCUGCUGGGGUUCUCACACUCAACAGUUUCCCGCGUGUAUCAAGAAUGGUCCACCACCCAAAGGACAUCCAGCCACCUUGACACAACUGUGGGAAGCAUUGGAGUCAACAGGGACCAGCAUGCCUGUGGAUCGCUUUCGACACCUUGUAGAGUCAACAUGGACCAGCAUCCCUGUGGAACGCUUGACACCUUGUAGAGUCCAUGUCCCGACGAAUUGAGUCUGUUCUGAGGGCAACUCAAUAUUAGGGAAGGUGUUCUUAAUGUUUUGUUCACUCAGUGUAAAUUCUCUUCUCAACAUUACACUGUACACUCCAGGUCGACUGUUAAGCUCUUAGUAUUCCUUAUCUACCUGUUAAAUAACCAUAUUGAAGUAAUCAUUAAUUCAUUAAUGACUUCCCCCAUCAGCGGGGUUCAGUCUAGUCCAGAAGAACAGGUUGUUAGAUUGUUAGAUUGAGUUCCACAUCAGCAGGGUCCAGUCUCGUCCAGAAGAACAGGUUGAGUUCCACAUCAGCAGGGUCCAGUCUAGUCCAGAAGAACAGGUUGUUAGAUUGUUUGGCUUGUCUUCCUCUGUCAGAGCAGCUAGUAAAAGUCAAGUAGUAUUAAUUAUGAAACAUUUUCCCACCGAGAAGCUGUUCAACACAACGUUGACUCCAUAUGGACAACCUUAAAGUGACCGUGUAGUCUGUCUCUGAACCUCAACUUCACAGUUUGUUGCUAAAGUAGUGCAUCGUUUGGCUUCACCACAGCUGUCUGUUAGAGAGUCAGUGUUCAGGUGGAAACCCAGGUGGCUCCUGGUAAUUGGGAGUCAGAGAGUUCAGGUGGAAGCCCAGGUGGCUCCAGGUAAUUGGGAGUCAGAGAGUUCAGGUGGAAGCCCAGGUGGCUCCAGGUUACAUGGUUGGAAGCCCAGGUGUCUCCAGGCUACAUGGUUGGAAGCCCAGGUGUCUCCAGGCUACAUGGUUGGAAGCCCAGAUGUCUCCAGGUUACAUGGUUGGAAGCCCAGGUGUCUCCAGGUUACAUGGUUGGAAGCCCAGGUGUCUCCAGGUUACAUGGUAAUUCUCUUUAACAAUGUUAUUGCCAAUAGAAGAAGAAAAGUGACCCAUCCAUAUUUCCAGGAUGGGAAGGCACUUUGGUGACAAGUCUCUCCGUCUGAAAUUCCACCCUAUCCCCUCAUCAGGGAAUUAGGUGCCAUUUGGGACACACCCUGACAGGAAUAUGUAUUGAGCUGGUCUGUCAUCGUUGUGGUAGAUGGGUGUGUGUGUUUUAACUUCCUGGUCAGUCAUCGUUGUGGUAGAUGAGUGUGUGUGUUUUAACUUCCUGGUCAGUCAUCGUUGUGGUAGAUGAGUGUGUGUGUUUUAACUUCCUGGUCAGUCAUCGUUGUGACAGAUGAGUGUGUGUGUUUUAACUUCCUGGUCUUUGGGUUGUGCAUCUUAUCUACAAAUCGUCUCUGAAUGUAAAAACGGAGGUUUUAUCCAAGAAGGUUGUGUUUCCCAGGCCAC